GAGGAGUAUUGGUCAAUGGGCGAGAGCCUGAACCAGCCAAGUCGCGUGAAGGAUGACUGUCUUAUGGAUUGUAAACUUCUUUUAUACGGGAAUAACAAGAGUCACGUGUGACUCCCUGCAUGUACCGUAUGAAUAAGCAUCGGCUAACUCCGUGCCAGCAGCCGCGGUAAUACGGAGGAUGCGAGCGUUAUCCGGAUUUAUUGGGUUUAAAGGGUGCGUAGGCGGCCUGUUAAGUCAGCGGUGAAAUCUAGGAGCUUAACUCCUAAAUUGCCGUUGAAACUGGCGGGCUUGAGUGUAGAUGAGGUAGGCGGAAUGCGUGGUGUAGCGGUGGAAUGCAUAGAUAUCACGCAGAACUCCAAUUGCGAAGGCAGCUUACUAAGGUACAACUGACGCUGAAGCACGAAAGCGUGGGUAUCAAACAGGAUUAGAUACCCUGGUAGUCCACGCAGUAAACGAUGAUAACUGGGCGUAUGCGAUAUACAGUAUACUCCUAAGCGAAAGCGUUAAGUUAUCCACCUGGGGAGUACGCCGGCAACGGUG
This 540-nucleotide ribosomal RNA is filed under the name uncultured bacterium. Its description in RNAcentral is "bacterial SSU rRNA". It matches the Rfam family "Bacterial small subunit ribosomal RNA", at positions 356 to 896 of the family's 1533-position model. The record is from RNAcentral.